This 326-nucleotide non-coding RNA is filed under the name Agarivorans albus MKT 106. Lineage: Bacteria; Pseudomonadati; Pseudomonadota; Gammaproteobacteria; Alteromonadales; Alteromonadaceae. The record is from RNAcentral.
GAGGUAUUUAGGACGCAGCGCUCAGGAUGAGCAGGCUUAUCAAGGUAGAUGAGUUUGGAUGUCAGCAUAGGAUUGCUAGAAAGCAAAAUACCAAAUAGCUUCAGGACGAAGUAUAGGGAUACCUCCAGGACGGAGAGAGCAAGUGUUUAGGAUGAACGCUUAUGCCAUAGAAGGCUAAAGGACAGCCCAAAGGAACUGGGAAGAGGAAACGCUAAGGAAUAGUGUGAAACAGUCAAAAAGGAUUGCAGGGAGCAAUUAACGUUCAUGGAAUAGAGCGAUAUGACUACUAAGAGGGCGACACGUAUGUGUCGCCCUUUUUCUUUGCC